RNAcentral lists this ribosomal RNA (253 nucleotides) under uncultured bacterium. RNAcentral's name for it is "partial 16S ribosomal RNA". It matches the Rfam family "Bacterial small subunit ribosomal RNA", at positions 524 to 776 of the family's 1533-position model. The record is from RNAcentral.
UACGAAGGGGGCUAGCGUUGUUCGGAAUCACUGGGCGUAAAGGGCGCGUAGGCGGCUUUAUAAGUCGGGGGUGAAAGCCUGUGGCUCAACCACAGAAUUGCCUUCGAUACUGUAGAGCUUGAGACCGGAAGAGGUAAGUGGAACUGCGAGUGUAGAGGUGAAAUUCGUAGAUAUUCGGAGGAACACCAGUGGCGAAGGCGGCUCACUGGUCCGGUACUGACGCUGAGGUGCGAAAGCGUGGGGAGCAAACAGG